GUAAAUAUAGUUUAAACAAAACACUAGAUUGUGAGUCUAGUAAUAGAGACUAACCCCCUCUUAUUUACC
RNAcentral lists this transfer RNA (69 nucleotides) under Cynopterus brachyotis (lesser short-nosed fruit bat). RNAcentral describes it as "tRNA-His". It matches the Rfam family "tRNA". From Rfam's summary of the family: Transfer RNA (tRNA) molecules are approximately 80 nucleotides in length. Their secondary structure includes four short double-helical elements and three loops (D, anti-codon, and T loops). Lineage: Eukaryota; Metazoa; Chordata; Mammalia; Chiroptera; Pteropodidae. The record is from RNAcentral.